UCGUAUAUGUAAUACAUAUUUUGUUGGGAUCAAUCUAUAUAAACAAUGAGAUAUUUAAUUGCUUUUUCAUUAAGGGUGAAGCUAAAACAGUUUUUUAGGGCCGAAUGAAAUUUUAACUUUUUUAUAGUCUAUGUCUAAUUUUUAAAAAAAUUAAAUUAAAUUAUUAUAAUUUUAGGGAGUAAAGUGUAAUUUUCUAUUUUAGGGAUUCGCCUAUGUUCUUCA
Molecule: long non-coding RNA, 222 nt
Filed under: Gossypium barbadense (sea-island cotton)
Lineage: Eukaryota; Viridiplantae; Streptophyta; Magnoliopsida; Malvales; Malvaceae
Description: long non-coding RNA (GBAR_LNC008572)
Source: RNAcentral